Culex pipiens pallens (northern house mosquito) is the source of this 3512-nucleotide long non-coding RNA. RefSeq lists it as uncharacterized. The record is from RefSeq and is a predicted model, not a curated record. The transcript has 3 exons. NCBI's taxonomy places the organism in Eukaryota, Metazoa, Arthropoda, Insecta, Diptera, Culicidae.
UCCUGUUUUUUCGUGUUAUUUUCCGUCUCUUUUAUGUCGCUGUUCGAGUGCAUGGGGUGAUUGGUCAUUAUAAUUAAAUUAUGGGCUCAGUAGGGCGGUGCCUGUGUGGACGCGCAGUCCUGUUUUUUCGUGUUAUUUUCCGUCUCUUUUAUGUCGCUGUUCGAGUGCAUGGGAUUGGUCAUUAUAAUUAAAUAAUGGCAUCAGUAGUGCGGUGCCUGUGUGGACGCGCAGUCCUGUUUUUUUUUCGGGUUAUUUUCCGUCUCUUUUGUGUCGCUGUUCGAGUGCAUGGGGUGAUUGGUCAUUAUAAUUAAAUAAUGGCAUCAGUAGUGCGGUGCCUGUGUGGACGCGCAGUCCUGUUUUUUCGUGUUAUUUUCCAUCUCUUUUGUGUCGCUAUUUGUGUACAUGGGGUGAUUGGAUUUCUUCUGAUUCGUGUUGUUUUCAUCUCUUUUGUGUCGCUGUUUGUGUGCAUGGGGUGAUUGGUCUUCUUCUUCUUCUUUUUUCUUUAUUUUUAGUUCGCGCGUUCGUUGGCCAAUGAGUUGAUUUUUGUUCUCUUUACAUAGUUUUCGAUAGAAACGAUCCGAAUUCUUUUUUUUUCGAGACAAGCAAGUCGUAUUGCUGGAUUAAGUCCUUUCUAUAUCAUCGAUGAUCGGAAGGCACGCCGACGAAUAUGUUUUAAGGCUUAUGGUAUAAAAUCAUUUUAAUGAAUAAAGCCCUUCUUACAUCACCGUUGAUCGGAAGGCACGCCGACGAAGAAUUUCUGGAGGAUCGCGGUCGAAUUAAUACUAUAUUUAAAAUUCUAGAUAGCUAUCUUUCGGAUUCGAUUGUGAGUAGCGGGACUUCGCGGUUACUAUGCAACGUAUUUUUUGGAGUCUUUUUAUAUUUUAAAUUUAUAAGUCCUUCUUUUAUCAUCGUUGAUAGGAAGGCACGUCGCCGGUUAAGUUCGUUUAAGUUAUUGUUUUAAUUUCAUUACAAUCGGUUACGUGGUGUCCUGUUUUCCUUCGUUUAUAUUCGUUGAUCGUAAUAAUUUAUUCCAACUGGCAGCUUUAGUAUUAACUCAUCUACUAUUUUUGAAAUUUGCUCGCGUUAUCUAAAUUGUACAAACAGUAAAAAUAUACUGAUAAGUCCAGCCCAUAGCACUACUGCUCGGUUGGCACGCGUUCGAUUAAAAAACUUUUUAAAUAAUCAAUUAUUUAUCUUUCCGCAGCCGGCUGCCUAAGAUUUAACAUUUUCAACCGAUAAACAAAAUGCUCAUGGUCACAUCACUGCCACUCGUGAAUCCUGACCUCAUACCCAUCUACUAACCCCCUCAAAACUCAUGUGAUACUUUGUCGGAGAAGCAGUCGAUUGGGCGGUCUCUAUCACUCAAGUAUCGGACUAACAUUCCCAUCCACUUCCCCGUGACCCUACCACUGGUCGUGGCCGGCGCCGGUAUUGAUCAGCAUGAUAGGGGCCUUUGAGAAGUUGCGAAGCGAGGAAUGAUAGCACCCACUUAUCUUCCACGGCUCGUGGAUGUAACUUCUGGAGGUCCUGGUCAAUAAUACAGAUUGUCAAGGCAAACAGAUUGGCCAAUGUUUCUGGACACCAAACGUGCUGGACACCAACCGCCCUUUACUCCCAGCAAAACUGGCAGUGUUGCAAGCGCAAAACAUACGUUGCCAGUGCCGAUUUAUUUUGCAUCGGCCAAUCUGUCUCCCUCGACAAUCUGUAGUCAAUAACGGAGUAGCAACUGCGGGUGGGCACCUAUGCUUAUGCUUAUGUCAUACGUUUUUGCACCAAAAUGUCGUAUCCCUGUUUGAAAAAUGUCGCACGUCGUACGAGUUGUCGCACGGUUUUGAUUUUACCGUUUCGAUAUCGAUUGGUCGAAAGGACGACAAACACUCGACAUGCCCGACGUUGUUUUUUCCAUCGAUUUGCCUUCAAUUCGACGUCGAUUAUCGUCGACGCAAACAGUUUGACAGUUCUCUUCAGUUGAACUUGUUCGGACUUGAUUGCAACCGAGUCGAACAAAUUGUUGUUGGUUUUAGGCUUUGGGAGGAUUUUGGCCAGUUUAAAGAUUGCGGUCUUCGUGGCGGUAUAGGAGGAAGAGGAGGACGGGAAAUAUGGAUUACUCGGCGAGCCAUUCCGGAAGACGGGACGGGAAGGAACCAGUUUGCGAUCGAGGAAGCCGUUAGUGUUUGGUGUUUUACUUUCCGCGGGAGGUUGCAUCCAUAUCUAAUGGAACUGGCAACAAACAUAUUCUGAUCUGAUCCUGCCGGAAACCAUGCGUCCCCGUGUGGUCCCGCGUGGCUUCCGUAGAACCCAAGGAAGCAGCCUCUCGUACUCCGGUAAACAUCAAUCCGUCGGAGGUUCAAGAUCGUCGCCAAGGUGUCGCAUCCGGGUUUUGAUCAGCGCGUCGAGGAGCAAAAGUCCAACACGGCCAAGAUGCUGCUACGGCCGCCUCCAACAUCCAAGCCGGAAGCUGCGGUCAAGGCAAAUCCCGAAGGAAGCAAAGUUGGAGAAGAAUCGGCGAUCCGCAAGUGAAAUUAAGUGAACAAGUAAAUAUUUUUUUGAAAUUUUGACAGUUGAAAUAAAAAAAAACAAUAAAAACAAAACAACAGUUUUUUUCAACUGCAACAUAACCUAAAAAUCCGAAAUGACAGCACACGACAUUCUAAAUAACAAAACCGUGCGACGUCGGUCGAAUGUCGUACGACAAUGUCGUACAAUUUCGAUCAUCGAUCGCACGACAAAUCCCUGACUGAAAAGUCCGUCGGACGUCCGUCGUUUGUCGUCCGUGCAAUCGUACGACGUCGCACGACAAUGUCGCGCGACUAUCGCACGAAUGUCAGACGUUUUUGCACCAAAAUGUCGUAUUUGUCGUGCGAUCGAUAAUCGAAAUUGUACGACAUUGUCGUACGACAUUCGACCGACGUCGCACGGUUUUGUUAUUUAGAAUGUCGUGCUAUUGUCGUGUGCUGUCAUUUCGGAUUUUUAGGUUAUGUUGCUGUUGAAAAAAACUGUUGUGUUGUUUUUUAUUUUAUUUUUUAUUCAAACACAUCUAAUUUCACAAUAAUAUUAACUUUUUCACGAAAUUUAACUUCCGGAUCGCCGAUUCUUCUCCAACUUGGCAUUCUUCGGAUGCUCUCGGAUUUGCCUUGACCGCAGCUUCCGGCUUGGAUGUUGGUGUUGGACUUUUGCUUCUCGACGAGCUGAUCAAAGUUUAACCCGCCAAUCUUGGAUCUCAGGCGGAUUGAUGGCCACCGGGGUACGAGAUAACGUGAAUACUUCCGUGGGUUCUACGGAGGCGAACUCAUGGUUUCCGGCAUGAUCAGAUUGGAAUAUUUUAGUUGCCUGAAAAAAGAUAACGUUGACGUUUACAUUAGGUAGGAAUGAGCAGGAUAGCUUCUUAAUAUACACUGCGACAUUUGCCAAAUUACUUUAAUUGGCAUCAAUUUAUAAAUUAAAUUCUUACUUAAAUAUUAAUAACAUAAAAUUUUUAAAAAAGGUAUUUUAAACAUAAAAAUCAAUUAAAA